UCCAAGUGUUGGCAAGAGUGUGUGGAGC
RNAcentral lists this non-coding RNA (28 nucleotides) under Mus musculus (house mouse). The record is from RNAcentral. Lineage: Eukaryota; Metazoa; Chordata; Mammalia; Rodentia; Muridae.